RNAcentral lists this ribosomal RNA (253 nucleotides) under uncultured bacterium. RNAcentral describes it as "partial 16S ribosomal RNA". It matches the Rfam family "Bacterial small subunit ribosomal RNA", at positions 524 to 776 of the family's 1533-position model. The record is from RNAcentral.
UACGGGGGGAGCAAGCGUUGUUCGGAUUUACUGGGCGUAAAGCGCGCGUAGGCGGACCUGCAGGUCGGGGGUGAAAGCCCGAGGCUCAACCUCGGAACUGCCUUCGAUACUGCGGGUCUCGAGUCCGGGAGAGGUGAGUGGAAUUCCUAGUGUAGAGGUGAAAUUCGUAGAUAUUAGGAAGAACACCAGUGGCGAAGGCGGCUCACUGGCCCGGUACUGACGCUGAGGCGCGAAAGCGUGGGGAGCAAACAGG